UAGGGAAUCUUGGACAAUGGGCGAAAGCCUGAUCCAGCCAUGCCGCGUGUGUGAUGAAGGCCUUAGGGUUGUAAAGCACUUUCGCUAGGGAAGAUAAUGACGGUACCUAGAUAAGAAGCCCCGGCUAACUUCGUGCCAGCAGCCGCGGUAAUACGAAGGGGGCUAGCGUUGUUCGGAAUUACUGGGCGUAAAGCGCACGUAGGCGGCAUUCCAAGUUGGAGGUGAAAUCCCCGGGCUUAACCUGGGAACUGCCUCCAAAACUGGGAAGCUCGAGUCCGAGAGAGGUGAGUGGAAUUUCCAGUGUAGAGGUGAAAUUCGUAGAUAUUGGAAAGAACACCAGUGGCGAAGGCGGCUCACUGGCUCGGUACUGACGCUGAGGAGCGACAGCGUGGGGAGCAAACAGGAUUAGAUACCCUGGUAGUCCACGCCGUAAACUAUGGGUGCUAGUUGUCGGGCGAGCUUGCUGUUCGGUGACGCAAGCUAACGCAAUUAAGCACCCCGCCUGGGGAAGUACGGUCGCAAGAUUAA
This 528-nucleotide ribosomal RNA is filed under the name uncultured bacterium. RNAcentral describes it as "bacterial SSU rRNA". It matches the Rfam family "Bacterial small subunit ribosomal RNA", at positions 355 to 897 of the family's 1533-position model. The record is from RNAcentral.